Lactuca sativa (garden lettuce) is the source of this 572-nucleotide non-coding RNA. Lineage: Eukaryota; Viridiplantae; Streptophyta; Magnoliopsida; Asterales; Asteraceae. The record is from RefSeq and is a predicted model, not a curated record.
ACUAAUGCAAAUCAAUAACAAUAUUUCGCUAUCAGUGACGUUCUUUUAAUAGUUCAUCUUGCAUUUGUGCUUCUCAUCUUUGUUGUUUGUUUCUACAUAUCAUUUCAAACUGACAUAAGGGUUGUCUCUAUUUUUUCUGGCUUUGUUAUACAUGAUGGAGGAAAAGUAUAUGAAGUGAGAACUAAGGUUAAUUCCUUUUUCUCUUCGUAAUUUUGUUUUAUGAUAAUUAUAUUUUUUUCUGUUUUUAUUUGUUUUGCUUCUUGUGGUUAAAAUUUAGUAGAAACAACUUUCGUUGAGGUUCUACACAUAUGGAUAAGCUUACGAGGGACAAUAGAGCCUAGCAUGCCAAAGCACGUAAAAACUUUAUCAGAUCACUGUCAUCCCAACCCAAAGUGUUACAACCUCAUAAAGUCCAUAUUUUAACAAGGGAAGAACUUUCAUGUAGAGCCACCACAAGAGAAGUUUCCUACUUUAUGAUUCAUGUACACCUAAAGAUUCUAUAUCACCAUGCAGUUUCUGCAAAAGUAUCACCAAAUCAUAUGAGUUUAGCGCAUGUGUUUUAUGAGUAUUAA